Molecule: long non-coding RNA, 740 nt
Organism: Manis pentadactyla (Chinese pangolin)
Lineage: Eukaryota; Metazoa; Chordata; Mammalia; Pholidota; Manidae
Exons: 3
Source: RefSeq, a predicted model, not a curated record
CGCGUGAGGGUCUCCGUACAUGGAAGCAGGCACACCUACUCCGUCCAUCCCGCCGUAGUGGGGCAGCUCAUCGUACUGUCGGAACCCGGCAAAGGGGAGGCGGGAGCAGGAGAGACAAAACAAGCAGCCCAGGCUAGUCUAGGCGGCGGCGCAGCGGCUGCGGCAGCGCGGCCCCAGCGGCGGCCCCGGCGGCGGCGGCGGCUCCUACGCAGCCCGUGCCCGCCCCGAGCCGCGGGAGCAGCGGCGGCAGCGGCGCAGCGAGAGGCGGCAGCAGGAGAGCCGGGGGACUCGCGCUGCUGGGGUAAAAGCCGGAGCGAGGCGAAAGCGUGUAACAGUUGCACACGCACACACACCACUCACACGCACUCGCCGCCCGCCCGCUCGCACAGCGCUGGAACACGCGCGCCCAGACACGCACACACGCACGCACACACACUCGCACACACGCAGAGGCACGGGGGGGAAAAGCCGGUGAAUAAUUUUGCUGCUAUUUUUUUAAAUACUGGCCGCCAUCAUCAAGCAGCGAGCAGCAGCAGCAGCAGCAGCGCUGAAGGGAGAGGAGGCAUCGGGACAGGCCCUUCUUAGGCGAGGAUUUAUAUCUAGAAAAAGAAGAAGAAAAAGAAGAAAAAAAUUGUCAAGCCCCCGAACUGAAGGUUACGAGCGGCCCGUCAGCAGCCCACAUGUAACCGAACUGUCGUGUUUCAUGGCUUUUUGCCACUCCAGCUGUCAAUCAAAGCCCG